AUUGCUGUAGCGGGGGUAGUAAUUGAUGAACGCGAAGCCCCGGCUUUGAUCGAUGGCGUGAAACAGCGGGUUCCAGUCGAACAUCGCCAGCAUGAAACCGGGCAGCGUGUUGGCAAGGAACAUCUUGCCCGAUGCGAUCAUGUUCGCGCGCUG
RNAcentral lists this non-coding RNA (153 nucleotides) under Sulfitobacter sp. HI0023. RNAcentral describes it as "Oceanibulbus sp. HI0023 Ruegeria cis2 sRNA". It matches the Rfam family "Ruegeria cis2 sRNA". From Rfam's summary of the family: Cis-encoded. The record is from Rfam by way of RNAcentral. Lineage: Bacteria; Pseudomonadati; Pseudomonadota; Alphaproteobacteria; Rhodobacterales; Roseobacteraceae.